RNAcentral lists this ribosomal RNA (446 nucleotides) under uncultured bacterium. Its description in RNAcentral is "bacterial SSU rRNA". It matches the Rfam family "Bacterial small subunit ribosomal RNA", at positions 330 to 793 of the family's 1533-position model. The record is from RNAcentral.
GCCAGACUCCUACGGGAGGCAGCAGUGGGGUCUCUUUCACAAUGUUUUUCCCCCUGAUUCCCCCCCGCCGCGCCCUUCCAGAAGCGCGUCCCCGCGUAAAUCCUCUCCAGCAGGCAACAACAUGACGGUCACGGAAGAAGAAGCCACGGCUAACUACGUGCCAGCAGCCGCGGCAAUACGUAGGGGGCAAGCGUUAUCCGGAUUUACUGGGUGUAAAGGGGGCGCGGACGGCGAUGCAAGCCAGGAGUGAAAGCCCGGGGCCCAACCCCGGGACUGCUCUUGGAACUGCGUGGCUGGAGUGCAGGAGGGGCAGGCGGAAUUCCUGGUGUAGCGGUGAAAUGCGUAGAUAUCAGGAGGAACACCGGUGUGGAGGGCGGCCUGCUGGACUGCAACUGACGUUGAGGCCCGAAAGCGUGGGGAGCAAACAGGAUUAGAUACCCUAGUAU